ACGUGUUAAAGUCGUCAUCCACAUAGGCAAACAGAACAAACGGUUCCUGGUGAGUGAUGAAGUGCAAAUUUACAAAGUUCAGUGAGUAAUUGGGUGCAAAGUAAAGUUGAGUGGGUGAAAUGUGACGUCUUGUAAAGUUCGGUAAGUAUUCAAACAAUUAACUCUUUAACCCGAUGAGUGAUGGAGUGCAAGUUUACAAAGUUCAGUGAGUAAUUGGGUGCAAAGUAAAGUUCAGUGAGUGAAACGUGACGCCCUUUAA
RNAcentral lists this long non-coding RNA (259 nucleotides) under Olea europaea (common olive). Its description in RNAcentral is "long non-coding RNA (OEUR_LNC003996)". Lineage: Eukaryota; Viridiplantae; Streptophyta; Magnoliopsida; Lamiales; Oleaceae. The record is from RNAcentral.